GAUGAACGCUGGCGGCGUGCUUAACACAUGCAAGUCGAACGAUGAAGCCCAGCUUGCUGGGUGGAUUAGUGGCGAACGGGUGAGUAACACGUGAGUAACCUGCCCUUAACUCUGGGAUAAGCCUGGGAAACUGGGUCUAAUACCGGAUAGGAGCGUCCACCGCAUGGUGGGUGUUGGAAAGAUUUAUCGGUUUUGGAUGGACUCGCGGCCUAUCAGCUUGUUGGUGGGGUAAUGGCUCACCAAGGCGACGACGGGUAGCCGGCCUGAGAGGGUGACCGGCCACACUGGGACUGAGACACGGCCCAGACUCCUACGGGAGGCAGCAGUGGGGAAUAUUGCACAAUGGGCGCAAGCCUGAUGCAGCGACGCCGCGUGAGGGAUGACGGCCUUCGGGUUGUAAACCUCUUUCAGUAGGGAAGAAGCGAGAGUGACGGUACCUGCAGAAGAAGCACCGGCUAACUACGUG
RNAcentral lists this ribosomal RNA (466 nucleotides) under uncultured bacterium. RNAcentral describes it as "partial 16S ribosomal RNA". It matches the Rfam family "Bacterial small subunit ribosomal RNA", at positions 28 to 507 of the family's 1533-position model. The record is from RNAcentral.